Molecule: transfer RNA, 48 nt
Filed under: Zabelia dielsii
Lineage: Eukaryota; Viridiplantae; Streptophyta; Magnoliopsida; Dipsacales; Caprifoliaceae
Also listed under: 1 other name
Description: partial tRNA-Leu
Source: RNAcentral
UUAGAAAUCGUGAGGGUUCAAGUCCCUCUAUCCCCAAAAAACCUAUAU